RNAcentral lists this unclassified non-coding RNA (216 nucleotides) under uncultured Amanitaceae. RNAcentral describes it as "sequence contains ITS1". Lineage: Eukaryota; Fungi; Basidiomycota; Agaricomycetes; Agaricales; Amanitaceae. The record is from RNAcentral.
UUGAAAGAAAUCUCAGGCAAGGGGGAAAAGGUGGUUGUAGCUGGCCCCAGGGGCAUGUGCACACUGUCUCUUUUUCUCUUGUUUGUUUCUUCAUCCUUUCCACUUUGUGCACUGCUUGUAGGCAGCCUGGCGAAGACAUUGUUCAGGUUGUCUAUGAUUUUUCUUUACAUACAUGAAUUGAUGUUGUACAGAGUGUAAUGAAAAAAAAAGUUAAUA